AGCGCCUUUGCAAAGUAAUCGGUAUACCUCGAUAACAGCUCAUCCUCACGCCAAUAACACUCUGAGAUCCUUUAACUGAUUUUGCACGAAAACUCCAACUGCAUUUUUCAUCCACGCAACUAAGAAUAUAACGUGUUCUGUCUGAAUAUUCUGUGUGGAACUCAAAGCUUUGACUAACUGCAUGCAACCUCAACUUUGUGCUCAUUUCCUUUUUAUCCUUGAAAAACUUCCCGCAGAACAAGUCAUCAUCAUCAUCACAUUGAUUUGCUAAACAAAUUGGAGACAAGAUUUCUGAAUGGGAAUGUGAAUCUUCUCCAUGCUUUCUCUACCACGUCUACUAGAAAAAGAUGACAAUUUUGACUUUCCAAACCCAUAUACAACAAGUCCCAUCGAGUCCAAUCCUCUCUAAGAUAAAAACAUGAAACAUGUACAUUAAAAAUAGAAUUUAUAACCCAUUAUAUGACAUUGAUUAAAUUAUUAUAUAUUUAUAUUUAAGAAAGGAGAAAGUUAUAUGUACCUUAUUACUAACAAGAUUAUAUAUUUAUAUUUAAGAAAGGAGAAAGUUAUAUGUAUCUUAUUGCUAACAAGACCACUUGAAGGAGAAAUA
This 607-nucleotide long non-coding RNA is filed under the name Brassica napus (rape). RNAcentral's name for it is "long non-coding RNA (BNAP_LNC026822)". The record is from RNAcentral. Lineage: Eukaryota; Viridiplantae; Streptophyta; Magnoliopsida; Brassicales; Brassicaceae.